RNAcentral lists this non-coding RNA (30 nucleotides) under Rattus norvegicus (Norway rat). The record is from RNAcentral. Lineage: Eukaryota; Metazoa; Chordata; Mammalia; Rodentia; Muridae.
UUCUCCUUUCAGGAUUCCCAGAGGAUGGAA